This is a long non-coding RNA of Cyprinus carpio carpio, 494 nucleotides long. The record is from Ensembl. NCBI's taxonomy places the organism in Eukaryota, Metazoa, Chordata, Actinopteri, Cypriniformes, Cyprinidae.
GCUUCAGCAGAUUUGGCAUAAAUGAGGGAGAAUGAUGCUCAUUUGGCUCCCCCUGCUGGUGCCUCGGCAGUGAUGUACUCGAACUGUGUUCCCCUCAGUGUUCGCCUGUGCUCCUGCGAUCCUCUUGCUCUGUCGUCACCUGGAAAGGAAAAAGACUGAAGUUACUAACCCAGCGGACGCUACUCCCCUCAUCAUGGAAGAGCUUCUCAAGCACCUUACCGAGGUCAGCAUCCGCCAGCAACAAAUUGCUGAACACCUCGCCAGCCGUCAAGGGGAGACAGAACAUGAGCUCGCCAUCCUCCAGGCAGGCCGACACGCUCCGCCGCUUGAUCCCCGUGUCCAGGCCGCGCAGCUGAUACCCAAAAUGACCGCCCAUGAUGACGUGGAGAUGUUCCUGCAGAUGUUUGAGAACGUUGCCAUACGAGAGCGUUGGGAACGCCCGGCACGACUGCUCGCACCCCUCCUGACCGGCGAAGCGCAGCAUGCCUACUUCU